UGGGGAAUAUUGGACAAUGGGCGAAAGCCUGAUCCAGCCAUGCCGCGUGUGUGAAGAAGGUCUUCGGAUUGUAAAGCACUUUAAGUUGGGAGGAAGGGCAGUAAGUUAAUACCUUGCUGUUUUGACGUUACCGACAGGAUAAGCACCGGCUAACUCUGUGCCAGCAGCCGCGGUAAUACAGAGGGUGCAAGCGUUAAUCGGAAUUACUGGGCGUAAAGCGCGCGUAGGUGGUUUGUUAAGUUGGAUGUGAAAGCCCCGGGCUCAACCUGGGAACUGCAUCCAAAACUGGCAAGCUAGAGUACGGUAGAGGGUGGUGGAAUUUCCUGUGUAGCGGUGAAAUGCGUAGAUAUAGGAAGGAACACCAGUGGCGAAGGCGACCACCUGGACUGAUACUGACACUGAGGUGCGAAAGCGUGGGGAGCAAACAGGAUUAGAUACCCCCGUAGUCCCUGAGCGGGCUGGCAAGGCGCAU
RNAcentral lists this ribosomal RNA (472 nucleotides) under uncultured bacterium. RNAcentral's name for it is "bacterial SSU rRNA". It matches the Rfam family "Bacterial small subunit ribosomal RNA", at positions 355 to 825 of the family's 1533-position model. The record is from RNAcentral.